Molecule: ribosomal RNA, 507 nt
Filed under: uncultured bacterium
Lineage: Bacteria
Description: bacterial SSU rRNA
Rfam family: Bacterial small subunit ribosomal RNA
Source: RNAcentral
UAGUCCACGCCGUAAACGAUGAUAACUAGCUGCUAGGGCCCACAGGGCUUUGGUGGCGCAGCUAACGCAUUAAGUUAUCCGCCUGGGGAGUACGGUCGCAAGAUUAAAACUCAAAGGAAUUGACGGGGGCCUGCACAAGCGGUGGAGCAUGUGGUUUAAUUCGAUGCAACGCGAAGAACCUUACCUACCCUUGAAAUCCUCGAAAUCUUCUAGAGAUAGAAGAGUGCCUUCGGGAAUCGAGUGACAGGUGCUGCAUGGCUGUCGUCAGCUCGUGUCGUGAGAUGUUGGGUUAAGUCCCGUAACGAGCGCAACCCUUAUCCUUAGUUGCCAGCACAUCAUGGUGGGAACUCUAAGGAAACUGCCGGUGACAAACCGGAGGAAGGUGAGGACGACGUCAAGUCAUCAUGGCCCUUACGGGUAGGGCUACACACGUGCUACAAUGGGCAAUACAAAGGGCAGCGAAACCGCGAGGUCAAGCGAAUCCCAUAAAAUUGCUCUCAGUCCGGA